Molecule: transfer RNA, 84 nt
Filed under: Acidianus manzaensis
Lineage: Archaea; Thermoproteati; Thermoproteota; Thermoprotei; Sulfolobales; Sulfolobaceae
Description: tRNA-Ser
Rfam family: tRNA
About the family: Transfer RNA (tRNA) molecules are approximately 80 nucleotides in length.
Source: RNAcentral
GCCGGGGUGCCCGAGCGGAAUAAGGGGGUAGGCUCGAGACCUACUGUCCGAAAGGACUCGCGGGUCCGAAUCCCGUCCCCGGCG